UCGGGAAUUUUGGGCAAUGGGCGAAAGCCUGACGCAGCAACGCCGCGUGAGUGAUGAAGGCCUUCGGGUCGUAAAGCUCUGUCGGAGGGAACGAAUGCUCUUGAGGUUAACAGCCUCGGGAGGUGACGGUACCCUCAAAGGAAGCACCGGCUAACUCUGUGCCAGCAGCCGCGGUAAUACAGAGGGUGCAAGCGUUGUUCGGAAUCAUUGGGCGUAAAGGGCGCGUAGGCGGCAAUUCAAGUCAUCUGUGAAAUCUCCGGGCUUAACUCGGAACGGUCAGAUGAUACUGCUUUGCUAGAGUGCAGAAGGGGCAAUCGGAAUUCUUGGUGUAGCGGUGAAAUGCGUAGAUAUCAAGAGGAACACCUGAGGUGAAGACGGGUUGCUGGGCUGACACUGACGCUGAGGCGCGAAAGCCAGGGGAGCAAACGGGAUUAGAUACCCACGUAGUCCCUGAGCGGGCUGGCAAGGCGCAU
This 473-nucleotide ribosomal RNA is filed under the name uncultured bacterium. RNAcentral describes it as "bacterial SSU rRNA". It matches the Rfam family "Bacterial small subunit ribosomal RNA", at positions 355 to 825 of the family's 1533-position model. The record is from RNAcentral.